GCUACCCGACGCCGACGCCGAAGCCGCCGGCCAAGGGGCCCAAGCCGGAGAAGCCCCCGACCAAGGGCCACGGCCACAAGCCGGAGAAGCCGCCCAAGGAGCACAAGCCGACUCCGCCCACCUACACCCCGAGCCCCAAGCCCACGCCGCCGCCGGCUACUCCCAAGCCGACGCCGCCCACCUACACGCCGAGCCCUAAGCCCAAGUCGCCGGUCUACCCUCCCCCGCCGAAAGCCAGUACUCCUCCGACCUACACCCCGAGCCCCAAGCCUCCGGCGACCAAGCCGCCUACCUACCCGACCCCCAAGCCACCAGCUACCAAGCCUCCGACACCUCCUGUGUACACUCCGAGCCCCAAACCACCGGUUACAAAGCCUCCUACACCCAAGCCGACCCCGCCGGUGUACACGCCGAACCCCAAGCCACCGGUUACCAAGCCUCCGACACACACGCCGAGCCCCAAGCCUCCGACAUCCAAGCCGACUCCGCCGGUGUACACACCGAGCCCCAAGCCACCGAAGCCGUCCCCGCCGACGUACACGCCGACCCCGAAGCCACCGGCUACCAAGCCGCCCACCUCAACUCCGACGCACCCUAAGCCGACGCCGCACACGCCUAUCCCCAAGCCCACGCCGCCAACCUACAAGCCGGCACCGAAGCCGACGCCGCCGGCGCCCACCCCGCCGACAUACACGCCGCCGGUGUCGCACAC
RNAcentral lists this long non-coding RNA (712 nucleotides) under Sorghum bicolor (sorghum). RNAcentral's name for it is "long non-coding RNA (SBIC_LNC011143)". Lineage: Eukaryota; Viridiplantae; Streptophyta; Magnoliopsida; Poales; Poaceae. The record is from RNAcentral.